GCUGGCUCACAAAAAGCAUGAUUAUGAUUAGAUACUAAUCAAUGUAAACCAAAAGAAAUAACCAAUUGUUGCAUAAUUAAUAAGCAAGCUAGGUUGAACUUGUUUUCACUUAACGGUAGUGAGUUGCACAUGAUGAUAUAAUAAUUGUCAAACUUAUUAAUAUCAUAAGGCUAUCAAUCAGCAAAGCAAUAACAUGAGAUGAGUGAACACGUCUUUAGAGUUGUUUAAUAAUUUAAACCACAACAAUAAUUCUACCGUGACACAUAUGUGCAGUUUGAAAGUCAUUAAUCAUGUUAUAAUUUAAUAAGAGAGCUUGGCCCUGUUCGUUUGCUCACCCAGCUGAUCCAUUUGGGUGAAGAUGCAAAUUGAUGUUCGUUUAGUGCAUUAUAAUGCUACAUCUAGAUGGAUCACCCAGCUGAAUUUUUAAAAACUCAUCUCAAAUUCUCAUCCAAAUGAAGGUGAGUCUUGAUGGUGCAUCUGGAUGCAGAUGCAUCUAGUUCAGUCCAAAAUGAAAAAUGACAGAAAUGACCUUUUAAAAUCAAAAUAUUAUUUUCAAACCGUAAAUUCUAUUUUUUUGCAUAUAAAUUUUUCCGCUAUAACCAAAAAAUGCAUUUUCUCGCAAAAACGAAAAACGCACUUUUCCGCCAAAACCGCAAGAUGCAUUUUUCCGCAAAAAACAUAAAACACACAUUUUCAUUAAAACAUAUUUUUCGGCUAAACCAGUAAAACCACACCUUUCGACCAAAACCCAAAAAAAACGCAUAUUCCCGCCAAAACUCCAAAAGCAUUUUC
RNAcentral lists this long non-coding RNA (792 nucleotides) under Brassica rapa (field mustard). RNAcentral's name for it is "long non-coding RNA (BRAP_LNC006568)". Lineage: Eukaryota; Viridiplantae; Streptophyta; Magnoliopsida; Brassicales; Brassicaceae. The record is from RNAcentral.